UACGGGGGUGGCGAGCGUUACUCGGAUUUAUUGGGUGUAAAGGGCAGGUAGGUGGCUAUGUAAGUUGGAGGUGAAAUCCUAAGGCUCAACCUUAGAACUGCCUUCAAAACUACAUAGCUUGAGGCUAAUAGAGGAGAGCGGAAUUCCCGGUGUAAGGGUGAAAUCUGUAGAUAUCGGGAGGAACACCAGUGGCGAAAGCGGCUCUCUGGCUUAGUCCUGACACUGAGCUGCGAAAGCUAGGGGAGCAAACAGG
Molecule: ribosomal RNA, 253 nt
Filed under: uncultured bacterium
Lineage: Bacteria
Description: partial 16S ribosomal RNA
Rfam family: Bacterial small subunit ribosomal RNA
Source: RNAcentral